UGGUGGAGUGAUUUGUCUGGUUAAUUCCGUUAACGAACGAGACCUCGACCUGCUAAAUAGUUCAACAAAUUCUUCGGGAUUUGUGCGUGACUUCUUAGAGGGACUAUCGGUGGGUAGCCGAUGGAAGUUCGAGGCAAUAACA
RNAcentral lists this ribosomal RNA (142 nucleotides) under uncultured eukaryote. Its description in RNAcentral is "partial 18S ribosomal RNA". It matches the Rfam family "Eukaryotic small subunit ribosomal RNA", at positions 1299 to 1458 of the family's 1831-position model. The record is from RNAcentral.